This 69-nucleotide transfer RNA is filed under the name Ictidomys tridecemlineatus (thirteen-lined ground squirrel). Its description in RNAcentral is "Spermophilus tridecemlineatus (thirteen-lined ground squirrel) tRNA". It matches the Rfam family "tRNA". Rfam says of the family: Transfer RNA (tRNA) molecules are approximately 80 nucleotides in length. Lineage: Eukaryota; Metazoa; Chordata; Mammalia; Rodentia; Sciuridae. The record is from Rfam by way of RNAcentral.
GGGGUUGUGGCUCAGUGGUAGAGUGCUCACCUAGUAUGUGUGAGGUACUGGGUUGAAUCCUCAGCACCA